This 642-nucleotide ribosomal RNA is filed under the name Salmonella enterica. RNAcentral describes it as "partial 23S ribosomal RNA". It matches the Rfam family "Bacterial large subunit ribosomal RNA", at positions 2164 to 2805 of the family's 2925-position model. Lineage: Bacteria; Pseudomonadati; Pseudomonadota; Gammaproteobacteria; Enterobacterales; Enterobacteriaceae. The record is from RNAcentral. RNAcentral also lists the same sequence under 2 other names.
GUGGACGCCAGUCUGCAUGGAGCCGACCUUGAAAUACCACCCUUUAAUGUUUGAUGUUCUAACGUGGACCCGUGAUCCGGGUUGCGGACAGUGUCUGGUGGGUAGUUUGACUGGGGCGGUCUCCUCCUAAAGAGUAACGGAGGAGCACGAAGGUUGGCUAAUCCUGGUCGGACAUCAGGAGGUUAGUGCAAUGGCAUAAGCCAGCUUGACUGCGAGCGUGACGGCGCGAGCAGGUGCGAAAGCAGGUCAUAGUGAUCCGGUGGUUCUGAAUGGAAGGGCCAUCGCUCAACGGAUAAAAGGUACUCCGGGGAUAACAGGCUGAUACCGCCCAAGAGUUCAUAUCGACGGCGGUGUUUGGCACCUCGAUGUCGGCUCAUCACAUCCUGGGGCUGAAGUAGGUCCCAAGGGUAUGGCUGUUCGCCAUUUAAAGUGGUACGCGAGCUGGGUUUAGAACGUCGUGAGACAGUUCGGUCCCUAUCUGCCGUGGGCGCUGGAGAACUGAGGGGGGCUGCUCCUAGUACGAGAGGACCGGAGUGGACGCAUCACUGGUGUUCGGGUUGUCAUGCCAAUGGCACUGCCCGGUAGCUAAAUGCGGAAGAGAUAAGUGCUGAAAGCAUCUAAGCACGAAACUUGCCCCGAGAU